Molecule: ribosomal RNA, 454 nt
Filed under: uncultured Porphyromonadaceae bacterium
Lineage: Bacteria; Pseudomonadati; Bacteroidota; Bacteroidia; Bacteroidales; Porphyromonadaceae
Description: bacterial SSU rRNA
Rfam family: Bacterial small subunit ribosomal RNA
Source: RNAcentral
ACGGAAGGCAGCAGUGAGGAAUAUUGGUCAAUGGCCGGAAGGCUGAACCAGCCAAGUAGCGUGAGGGAUGACCGCCCUAUGGGUCGUAAACCUCUUUUGACAGGGAAUAAAGUGAGGCACGUGUGCCUUUUCGCAUGUACCUGUCGAAUAAGCAUCGGCUAACUCCGUGCCAGCAGCCGCGGUAAUACGGAGGAUGCGAGCGUUAUCCGGAUUUAUUGGGUUUAAAGGGUGCGUAGGCGGGAUGUUAAGUCAGCGGUGAAAGUUUGCGGCUCAACCGUAAAAUUGCCGUUGAAACUGGCGUUCUUGAGUGUAAACGAGGUAGGCGGAAUGUGACGUGUAGCGGUGAAAUGCUUAGAUAUGUCACAGAACCCCGAUUGCGAAGGCAGCUUACCAGCAUACAACUGACGCUGAGGCACGAAAGCGUGGGUAUCAAACAGGAUUAGAUACCCUGGUA